This 279-nucleotide ribosomal RNA is filed under the name Triticum aestivum (bread wheat). RNAcentral's name for it is "partial small subunit ribosomal RNA". The record is from RNAcentral. Lineage: Eukaryota; Viridiplantae; Streptophyta; Magnoliopsida; Poales; Poaceae.
GCCGAGGACAAGCUUAUUUGUGAGUGUUCGAGAGACAUUGGGCAAGACCCCAAGACGGGCGCCGAACAAAAUCAUUCAACUUUUUGGAUUCGUGUCCACCAUGAGUUCCAUGAGCGCAAGAAGUUUCCGCCAUACCAAAUAGUAAGCACGUGCGGGUGGGUGUCCAUUUCGAAGCGAUGGAGGGUGAUCCAACAAGAGUGUAACAAGUUUUGUGCCACUCUUGAGAGCGUCAAGGCCCGCCCCGUGAGCGGCAUCGACAUGCAAGACAUGGUACGCUAG